UACGAAGGGGGCUAGCGUUGCUCGGAAUGACUGGGCGUAAAGGGCGCGUAGGCGGUUUGUACAGUCAGGUGUGAAAUUCCCGGGCUCAACCUGGGGGCUGCACUUGAUACGUAGGAACUGGAGUGGGGAAGAGGGUCGUGGAAUUCCCAGUGUAGAGGUGAAAUUCGUAGAUAUUGGGAAGAACACCGGUGGCGAAGGCGGCGACCUGGUCCUUGACUGACGCUGAGGCGCGAAAGCGUGGGUAGCAAACAGG
RNAcentral lists this ribosomal RNA (253 nucleotides) under uncultured bacterium. RNAcentral's name for it is "partial 16S ribosomal RNA". It matches the Rfam family "Bacterial small subunit ribosomal RNA", at positions 524 to 776 of the family's 1533-position model. The record is from RNAcentral.